Long non-coding RNA from Sciurus carolinensis (gray squirrel), 682 nucleotides. RefSeq lists it as uncharacterized. The transcript has 3 exons. NCBI's taxonomy places the organism in Eukaryota, Metazoa, Chordata, Mammalia, Rodentia, Sciuridae. The record is from RefSeq and is a predicted model, not a curated record.
CUAUGGAUUUGCUAUGGUUGUCUCUUGUUGUCAGUGCUGAAAAUAUAAACACGACAAUGAAACUCAGUGGUGGCAAGUCUGCAAAGGGAAAAUCUACUGUGCUCCAAUUACGAGGACUUUAGGAAGGCCAACCUGACCCAGAGACAGAAUUAAGAAGAGAGAGGAGUGACUCAUUUGCAUGAACUUUAAUACCUGCUCCCAAAUAUGACUUCUUUUAGUUAGUCUGCUCUAUAACCAACUGGUGGAGCAGUCACAAGCUUUGGAAAGGGGAUCAGCAGAUGACAUGUUUGCCAACCUUUUCCAUAAACUGAGGAAAAAAGUCUUCCCUGGAGAACAUGUUCUGCCACCGGCCUAUUCUCUCUGGCUGGAAUGUUUUUUUCUUCAAGCACCUGCUUCUGCACUGAGAUGAAGUAAAUUGGUAGAAUGGGGAAAUGAUCUGAAGAUGAGAGAUUACUGAUACCCAGAAGAAGUCCUUGAUGCAAGAUUUAGAGGAAGAAAAAUGUGACAAGAUCAAUUUACAGAGAGGGGGGGGUCAAAGAAAAGAGUUACUUCUCUUGAGAUAGCAUGGGUGAAUAAUAACCCCCAUUAUCUGCUUUUUCACUUCCUCUGAUUUGGGUUACCUGUGGUCAACUACAUUCUAAAACUAUUAAAUAGAAAUUUUCAAAAAUAAACAAUUCCUAAG